RNAcentral lists this ribosomal RNA (503 nucleotides) under Chalarodon steinkampi. Its description in RNAcentral is "partial 16S ribosomal RNA". It matches the Rfam family "Bacterial large subunit ribosomal RNA", at positions 1899 to 2597 of the family's 2925-position model. The record is from RNAcentral. Lineage: Eukaryota; Metazoa; Chordata; Lepidosauria; Squamata.
GGUACGCCUGCCAGUGAACUAUUAAACGGCCGCGGUAUCCUAACCGUGCAAAGGUAGCGUAAUCACUUGCCCCCUAAAUAGGGACCAGUAUGAACGGCUAAAUGAGGAUUAAUCUGUCUCCUUUAACUAACCAGUGAAACUGAUCUUUCGGUUAAAAAGCCGAAAUAAACACAUAAGACGAGAAGACCCUGUGGAGCUUCAAAUUCUAACCAAAACAUGCCAUCACAGCAUACCAUAUGGCCAACAAUUUUAAGUUGGGGUGACUUCGGAACAAAACAAAACUUCCGAGCAAAAAGAACAUAAACUCUAAUCUAGACCAACAAGUCAAAACAAAUAUUGACCCAGUAUUACUGACUAACGAACCAAGUUACCCCAGGGAUAACAGCGCUAUCUUCUUCAAGAGUCCAUAUCGACAAGAAGGUUUACGACCUCGAUGUUGGAUCAGGACACCCAAAUGGUGCAGCAGCUAUUAAAGGUUCGUUUGUUCAACGAUUAAUAGUCCU